UAAUCAGAGAGAGAGGUGAGGGGGGUGGUCAAUCGUUUUAUUGAUCUGAAAGCUUUUCGAAUCGGUGGCAGCCAUUCAAAAUAAAGAACAAGGUUUUUGAGGUGCUUGAGUUGCAGACAACGCUGCUAGUCAUUUCAAAAUCUGUGAAUCUAACCAGGGCGUGGACAUAAUGUGUCGGCCUAUAAUCCAAUUACCACUAUCAAAAAAUAUGAAAUACCAGCAUGAAAUGAGUAGUAGGAUAAAAAGAGUAAAACUUUUAAUCAUAAAAAUUACUGCUCUAAGGGCAAAACUUGACGAAUAUCAAGCAGCAAAACAAAGACUCAUGUCGAAAUAAACAUAGUUAAGCUACAUUCAUUAUACUCUUUAAAUGCCGAAAAAGUAUUCUGUACGUGAUUGGAAAUAAUGUGGAUGUCAAAACUAAAUCCUAAAAUAAAAACACCUUAGUAUUUUAUAGUAUUAAUAGCUCCAAUGGCAAAUCAAAAAAAACAGUGGCUCAUUGUGAAAACGCAGAGUAAUCAGAUACAGUAGAAAUAUAUCUUGUAAUGAAUAAAAACCACCAUGUCAACUAAACAUAUUUCAUCAACAACGAAUGUUCCAAAAUGACAAAAUUUGAGGUCAAUCACAAAUUAACAUUAUUUGAAUAAAUCAAUCACAGACAGAAUCUGAUGUUUUUCUUUUCGUUCUCCUGUUACCUUAGAACAUUUUAGACCCAUCUUAUUUGUAUGUACUAAUUAACAUUUUUUCAAAUAAAUCAAUCAUAGACAGUA
Long non-coding RNA from Achroia grisella, 767 nucleotides. RefSeq lists it as uncharacterized. Lineage: Eukaryota; Metazoa; Arthropoda; Insecta; Lepidoptera; Pyralidae. The record is from RefSeq and is a predicted model, not a curated record. The transcript is spliced from 4 exons.